This 467-nucleotide ribosomal RNA is filed under the name uncultured bacterium. Its description in RNAcentral is "partial 16S ribosomal RNA". It matches the Rfam family "Bacterial small subunit ribosomal RNA", at positions 28 to 506 of the family's 1533-position model. The record is from RNAcentral.
GACGAACGCUGGCGGCGUGCUUAACACAUGCAAGUCGAACGGAAAGGCCCUGCUUUUGUGGGGUGCUCGAGUGGCGAACGGGUGAGUAACACGUGAGUAACCUGCCCUUGACUUUGGGAUAACUUCAGGAAACUGGGGCUAAUACCGGAUAGGAGCUCCUGCUGCAUGGUGGGGGUUGGAAAGUUUGGGCGGUUGGGGAUGGACUCGCGGCUUCUCAGCUUGUUGGUGGGGUAGUGGCUUACCAAGGAUUUGACGGGUAGCCGGCCUGAGAGGGUGACCGGCCACAUGGGGACUGAGAUACGGCCCAGACGCCUACGGGAGGCAGCAGUGGGAAAUAUUGCACAAUGGGCGGAGGCCUGAUGCAGCAACGCCGCGUGCGGGAGGACGGCCUUCGGGUUGUAAACCGCUUUCGCCUGUGACGAAGCGUGAGUGACGGUAAUAGGUAAAGAAGCACCGGCUAACUACGU